This is a long non-coding RNA of Diorhabda carinulata, 2151 nucleotides long. RefSeq lists it as uncharacterized. The record is from RefSeq and is a predicted model, not a curated record. The transcript has 2 exons. Lineage: Eukaryota; Metazoa; Arthropoda; Insecta; Coleoptera; Chrysomelidae.
AGCCGUUCCUCUAAUUUAAUAAUUCUACACAGUUCUCUGUUAUAAAUCUACUCAGAUGAAUAUUCUAUUAUUUAGAUGUACAAUAUAAGGAAAAUACUAAAAAAUUAUGUCAAUUUUAUAUGAUAUAAUCAAGAAGUUCUAUUUCUGUGGAAGGAUUACAUAUGAUACAUUGAACAAAAUUUAAUUAUACUACACAAUUCAUAUUAUUUCUACGGAAAAGGAAUCUUAACCUCACAAAUAAGGAAUUUUAUCCAUUGUCAACAUAUCGCCCAGGCAUUCGACAAGGCCUGGCACGAUGGACUACUAUACAAAAUCAGGAAAAACUUCUGCAUAAACUUUUCUGAAUAGAUCAAAAAACAACAAUGGACUCAAAGAAAGGAUACAUAUUGAGGUUACACAAAUAAUUCAAAGUUAUAAAGAAGCUUCCGAAUUUACGUCACGUCUUUCUCAUCGUAUUUUAUUUGAAGGUAAACGAUUUUAGAACUUAAUUCAGCUUUCAUUUUAUUUAAUGAUUAAUAUAAUUUAUUGUCAUAAUAAACAUUUAUUGAUUUUCUAGACAAAUACAUACAUCAACUACUCAAACAAUAAAAUAUAGUUGGACGGGUAUUUAAAAGACCUCUCAAAUAAUGUUCGUUUCGAAAUGUCAAAUUUUUAUCUGUCAUUCAAAAAUUAUAAGAAAACUAAUUUUUUAACAGAAGAGACCUAAAAUCAAGUAGUGCGUGAUUUUGAUUAAAGCUAUUAGCUGUGGGUUAAUUUUAAAUAAACUGCAGAAACAAACAUCUUAGGCAUAUAUUACAUUUUUAUUUUAGUAAAGGAAAUAAACCUGCUACGGCUCACAAAGAAAUAUGUGAAGUUUAUGGUGAUGAUUGCUUAACAUAAGCAAUAUAAGCAACGUUCUUGUCGGCCUACUGAAGUUGAUGAUGACCAAAUCAAAGUCAUAAAUGAAGAAGAUCGUCAUACAACUGUUCGAAAGGUUGCAAAGAGGCUACAUGUACCGCACACAACAAUUGAAAAAUACUUAAAAUGUCUUAGGCUAGUUAAUAAGCUUGAUAUUUGGGUACCUCACGAAUUGAAAUAAAUUCAUUUCACACAAAGAAUCAACAUUUGCGAAUCAUCACUUUUGAUGGUGAUGAAAAUAGUACAGUUUGGAAACGAUAAUGGAGUGAACAUGAUUAACCAACACAAACCACAUCGAAGGCCGAAAAACAAUAAAAAAAUCCUGCUUUCAAGGAACCAAACGAUCAAUUUUAUUGUUUAAUGUCAACAAUUAAUGAAACUGAAUGCAGCAAUCGAAAAAAAAAAAACAGUCAGAAUUGUCAAAUGCAAGACCUCAUACAUCUUUGGCAACUCGUGGGAAACUAAUGGAACUAGGCUGGAAAGUGAUCCCGCGUACAGCCCUGAUUUGGCACCAUCUGAUAACCAUUUAUUUCGGAGUUUGCAGAAUUCUUUAAAUGGUCAAACUUUCACAAAUGAGGAUGACCUUCAAUCGCACCUGGUUCAGUUUUUUGCUGAUAAGGACUAGAAAUUUUAUGAGCGCGAAAUUAUGUAGCUGAAAGAAAGAUGGCAAAAGGUUAUUGAGCAAAAAUAUAUAAUCAAUUGAAAACUAUUUUUUCAUAUUUUUGUUUUUUUUUUUUUAUUUUAAACCACAAAGUCGAAAUUACUGUCGCCAACCAAUAUGUAAAAAAAAGGCGCUGUUUAUAUCUUAACUAUUUAUGAUUUAAUCUACUAUAGUAGAUUCAUAUAUUUAUAUAAAAAUAUCUUCAAGGUAUAGGUGCAGAGUGGCUGUAAAGCCAAACGACUCGCCAAGAUAACCUACAAUCUUCGACUACUUCUAGGCGUUCAUUGCAGUUCUUGAACAAGAAAAUACUGUUAACGAAUAAAAUUAUGACUUGAAAAAUUAUGUAAGACUCACUUCUCCAUAUUCUUUACUAUAUGUACUGGUAACAACUUCGCCAGGGAGUUUUCCCUUUUUUCUAAUAGGCACAAAAGGGAAAUCGAACUCCAGUGAUAUUAAGGGACCAAAUAAAAAUCCUCUGGAAUCAAGACUUACUACACAAUCUGGAGGCGGAUGAAUAUUCUUUACAGCUUCUAUGAGUACUUCCUUUAAUAUUUUAAAUAUUUUAGGUUUUUGUAGAACAGAAAAAAUGUCCC